RNAcentral lists this transfer RNA (57 nucleotides) under Detonula confervacea. Lineage: Eukaryota; Bacillariophyta; Thalassiosirophyceae; Thalassiosirales; Thalassiosiraceae. The record is from RNAcentral.
UAGCUCAGUGGGUAGAGCGGCCAAUUGAAAAUCAUGAGGUCCCGGGUUCGAAUCCCG